RNAcentral lists this non-coding RNA (85 nucleotides) under marine eukaryotic metagenome. Its description in RNAcentral is "Glycine riboswitch". It matches the Rfam family "Glycine riboswitch aptamer", at positions 7 to 90 of the family's 94-position model. Rfam says of the family: This family represents the bacterial glycine riboswitch. Glycine riboswitches usually consist of two metabolite-binding aptamers domains with similar structures in tandem. The record is from RNAcentral.
CCUGUGGGAGAGACGGAGCUAGAAAUUCGCCGUCGCCGAAGGAGCAACCGCCCCGGAAACUCUCAGGCAGCCGGACCGCAGGAGG